GUUAACAAUAAUCAAAACUAUCUUCAUCACCAGCUUCAAAAUUCCAGCUACCAAACACCAAAUUCCAUUUUCUACCCUCAAAUUCCAGCCUCAAAUCCUCUUUUCAAUUUCCAAACAACCCCAAAUAUGUCUGGAUACUUCCCAAACUAUAGCUUUGGUACUAAUGACCAGACCCUUUUAAGAGCAGUGACUGCCAAUAUUGAAACAUCUGGGCAGGAGAAACACUGCAAGGUUGAACAAUUUUCAUCUAAUCAAUCUGUGGCCACCGUCUCACAGGACACUGGACUGAGCACUGACAUGAACACCACCACCGAGAUAUCAUCAGUGGUGUCGAAGCAAGACUUCGGAAACAACAAGGUGUACGAUGAUCUUGAAGGUCCAUCAUCAGUUGGGCCCAUUGCAGACUUCGAUGGCAUGUGGGAUUAAUAAAGAUGGAUGGAAUAUAUACUGAGUACUGCCUGUUCUAUAAAAUUCUUAGGGAAUAUAUGUGAUGAUUUGAAACAAUCUUCUUCUCUCCACUAGGUAAUUUGAUGAUAGUUUUAAAAGUUCUUG
This 552-nucleotide unclassified non-coding RNA is filed under the name Hevea brasiliensis (rubber tree). Lineage: Eukaryota; Viridiplantae; Streptophyta; Magnoliopsida; Malpighiales; Euphorbiaceae. The record is from RNAcentral.